GAGCCGCCGAUCCAACAGGGUAGUAGCUGAGCGAUGGGGUGACGCAGGAAGGUAGUCCAGCCCGGGCGGUGGUUGUCCCGGGGUAAGGGUGUAGGACGCAGGGUAGGCAAAUCCGCCCUGCAUAUAGUCUGAGACCUGAUGCCGAGCCGAUUGUGGUGAAGUGGAUGAUCCUAUGCUGUCGAGAAAAGCCUCUAGCGAGUUUCAUGGCGGCCCGUACCCUAAACCGACUCAGGUGGUCUGGUAGAGAAUACCGAGGCGUUCGGGUGAACUAUGGUUAAGGAACUCGGCAAAAUGCCCCCGUAACUUCGGGAGAAGGGGGGCCACCGUUGGUGAUGGCACUUGCUGCCUGAGCUGGUGGUGGCCGCAGAGACCAGCGAGAAGCGACUGUUUACUAAAAACACAGGUCCGUGCGAAGCCGUAAGGCGAUGUAUACGGACUGACGCCUGCCCGGUGCUGGAACGUUAAGGGGACCGGUUAGUCCACGUUCGCGUGGGCGAAGCUGAGAACUUAAGCGCCAGUAAACGGCGGUGGUAACUAUAACCAUCCUAAGGUAGCGAAAUUCCUUGUCGGGUAAGUUCCGACCUGCACGAAUGGCGUAACGACUUCUCGACUGUCUCAACCAUAGGCCCGGUGAAAUUGCAUUACGAGUAAAGAUGCUCGUUUCGCGCAGCAGGACGGAAAGACCCCGGGACCUUUACUAUAGCUUGAUAUUGGUGUUCGGUUCGGCUUGUGUAGGAUAGGUGGGAGCCUUUGAAGCAUCAACGCCAGUUGGUGUGGAGGCGUCGUUGAAAUACCACUCUGGUCGUGCUGGAUGUCUAACCUGGGUCCGUGAUCCGGAUCAGGGACAGUGUCUGGUGGGUAGUUUAACUGGGGCGGUUGCCUCCUAAAAUGUAACGGAGGCGCCCAAAGGUUCCCUCAGCCUGGUUGGCAAUCAGGUGUUGAGUGUAAGUGCACAAGGGAGCUUGACUGUGAGACCGACGGGUCGAGCAGGUGCGAAAGCAGGGACUAGUGAUCCGGCGGUGGCUUGUGGAAGCGCCGUCGCUCAACGGAUAAAAGGUACCCCGGGGAUAACAGGCUGAUCUUCCCCAAGAGUCCAUAUCGACGGGAUGGUUUGGCACCUCGAUGUCGGCUCGUCGCAUCCUGGGGCUGGAGUAGGUCCCAAGGGUUGGGCUGUUCGCCCAUUAAAGCGGUACGCGAGCUGGGUUUAGAACGUCGUGAGACAGUUCGGUCCCUAUCCGCUGCGCGCGUAGGAGUCUUGAGAAGGGCUGUCCCUAGUACGAGAGGACCGGGACGGACGAACCUCUGGUGUGCCAGUUGUCCUGCCAAGGGCAUGGCUGGUUGGCUACGUUCGGGAGGGAUAACCGCUGAAAGCAUCUAAGCGGGAAGCCUGCUUCGAGAUGAGGACUCCCACCCACUUGAUGGGGUAAGGCUCCCAGUAGACGACUGGGUUGAUAGGCCGGAUGUGGAAGCCCUGUGAGGGGUGGAGCUGACCGGUACUAAUAGGCCGAGGGCUUGUCCAU
This 1520-nucleotide ribosomal RNA is filed under the name Streptacidiphilus fuscans. RNAcentral's name for it is "Bacterial large subunit ribosomal RNA". It matches the Rfam family "Bacterial large subunit ribosomal RNA", at positions 1434 to 2925 of the family's 2925-position model. The record is from Rfam by way of RNAcentral. Lineage: Bacteria; Bacillati; Actinomycetota; Actinomycetes; Kitasatosporales; Streptomycetaceae.